AUGUUAGAAUGUUCUAAAUGAAUAGAUCGUAGCGGGGAUAAGUGGCAAUAGAACACAGCCAGGAACUCUUCUGCGCGAGUCAGCGUGACGUGCGUGCGCGGGCUCGUCAUUUGAAUUAAAUAACGGACACAAGCAACGGGCGGAACGGUAAUCAAAGUGAUGGUCUCCUCGCCAGAGAAGCUAGCAGCAUUCAAUGGGGAAGCUUUGCUAUUUCUUUCGCUGGAAUCUCCAAUUGAAAACAUCAUCGUGUGCGCUUAGACUUCUGUUCCAGUUCUGACUACACCACACUCUGCUUAUGUUGAUCACUGACUACUAUGUUCUCUGAAG
RNAcentral lists this long non-coding RNA (327 nucleotides) under Danio rerio (zebrafish). Its description in RNAcentral is "lncRNA si:ch211-42i6.1 (ENSDARG00000097811.3)". Lineage: Eukaryota; Metazoa; Chordata; Actinopteri; Cypriniformes; Danionidae. The record is from RNAcentral.